UGAUUUCAGGUGCUCAUCUGACACAGCAACCAGAAAGUUUAUGUUGGUUCAGACAGUGCAAGUUCACUGGGGAAAAGGAGUUUUGCAGGGAAUAUCAUUCUGAGCUAUGGCUCUGUGGCUGAAGUUCACCAGAAGUUGUCAGAGGUUCUUGUCACUGCAGUAACUUAGAACUGCAUAAACACGAAUGGGACUAUUUUCCACAGCCAUGGAUCACUGAGCCACUUUCAGAUUAAUUUGAAGCCUUUGAUGAAGAAAGAAGACUGAUUCCUAUCUAGACACUAAUCACAGUCUGGUGUCCAGAAUGCUUUUUUAGAAGAGCUGUGCCUGAGGCCAUGGAAAUGAGAAGGGUCCUCUCUCUGUCCACACCACACUCAGAAGCUGAUGGUUCCCUGAGCCCCUGUGGGAGGACAAGCCUCCAGAUCCCUGCUGGAGAGCCCUGAGCCAAGGCUGAGUCACAGAACCA
Molecule: long non-coding RNA, 463 nt
Organism: Pipra filicauda (Wire-tailed manakin)
Lineage: Eukaryota; Metazoa; Chordata; Aves; Passeriformes; Pipridae
Exons: 4
Source: RefSeq, a predicted model, not a curated record